GUGGGGAAUAUUGGACAAUGGGCGAAAGCCUGAUCCAGCCAUGCCGCGUGUGUGAAGAAGGUCUUCGGAUUGUAAAGCACUUUAAGUUGGGAGGAAGGGCAGUAAGUUAAUACCUUGCUGUUUUGACGUUACCGACAGAAUAAGCACCGGCUAACUUCGUGCCAGCAGCCGCGGUAAUACGAGGGGUGCAAGCGUUAAUCGGAAUUACUGGGCGUAAAGCGCGCGUAGGUGGUUUUGUAAGUUGGAGGUGAAAUCCCCGGGCUCAACCUGGGAACUGCCUCCAAAACUGCAUGACUAGAGUACGGUAGAGGGUAGUGGAAUUUCCUGUGUAGCGGUGAAAUGCGUAGAUAUAGGAAGGAACACCAGUGGCGAAGGCGACUACCUGGACUGAUACUGACACUGAGGUGCGAAAGCGUGGGGAGCAAACAGGAUUAGGAACCCCAGUAGUCC
Molecule: ribosomal RNA, 450 nt
Filed under: uncultured bacterium
Lineage: Bacteria
Description: partial 16S ribosomal RNA
Rfam family: Bacterial small subunit ribosomal RNA
Source: RNAcentral